CCCUUAGAUGUUCUGGGCCGCACGCGCGCUACACUGACGAAUGCAACGAGCUUAUAACCUUGGCCGAAAGGUCUGGGUAAUCUCCAAAUUUCGUCGUGAUGGGGAUAGAUUAUUGCAAUUAUUAAUCUUCAACGAGGAAUGCCCAGUAAGCGCAAGUCAUCAGCUUGCGUUGAUUACGUCCCUGCCCUUUGUACACACCGCCCGUCGCUCCUACCGAUUGAAUGGUCCGGUGAAGCGCUCGGACCGCGGCCUCUUGACGGUUCGCUGUCGAUUGGCUGUGGGAAGUUCGUUAAACCUUAUCAUUUAGAGGAAGGAGAAGUCGUAACA
This 327-nucleotide ribosomal RNA is filed under the name uncultured eukaryote. RNAcentral describes it as "partial 18S ribosomal RNA". It matches the Rfam family "Eukaryotic small subunit ribosomal RNA", at positions 1470 to 1796 of the family's 1831-position model. The record is from RNAcentral.